RNAcentral lists this ribosomal RNA (301 nucleotides) under uncultured bacterium. Its description in RNAcentral is "partial 16S ribosomal RNA". It matches the Rfam family "Bacterial small subunit ribosomal RNA", at positions 509 to 807 of the family's 1533-position model. The record is from RNAcentral.
CAGCCGCCGCGGGAAUACGUAGGGUGCAAGCGUUAAUCGGAAUUACUGGGCGUAAAGCGUGCGCAGGCGGUUUGUUAAGACAGAUGUGAAAUCCCCGGGCUCAACCUGGGAACUGCAUUUGUGACUGGCAAGCUAGAGUCUGGCAGAGGGGGGUGGAAUUCCGCGUGUAGCAGUGAAAUGCGUAGAUAUGCGGAGGAACACCGAUGGCGAAGGCAGCCCCCUGGGCCAACACUGACGCUCAUGCACGAAAGCGUGGGGAGCAAACAGGAUUAGAUACCCGUGUAGUCCCUGUCUCUUAUAC